Molecule: unclassified non-coding RNA, 499 nt
Filed under: Hevea brasiliensis (rubber tree)
Lineage: Eukaryota; Viridiplantae; Streptophyta; Magnoliopsida; Malpighiales; Euphorbiaceae
Source: RNAcentral
ACUCAUCUCAGGAUGAAAUCUCUUCCGAAGAUUUCCUAUAGGGUCACCCCUACUAAAGCAAGGUAAUCCACUAUCUAGCAUCAUCAAAACUGUAUUUAUAAUACCAUCCAUGUAGCGACGUGCAGCGAGGUAACCCUUGACACACAAGCUUACAAACAGGUGCCAUGUCUCGCUUUUCAUUGCUCCAGAUGGGUCGAUUAAUUGGGUCAUCUCAUGACUCAGCUUGAAGUGAGCACUUUCAAAUCGCAUAUUUCCACCAGGAGAAAUUUCCAGGAUAAAACCAAAGUCAAUAUGGACAAGCCUACCAGCACUGUCAAUCAGAAGGUUCCCAUUAUGUCUAUCCUUAGGUUGAAGCAACAAGCUAGCAACUGCAUAACCUGCACUGCUUACGAUGAAAUUCUCACGAGCAGCUUCAAAACCAGGAGAACCAACAGGUCCAUAGUCCUGUUGGAAAAUUUCAUAUAGACCACCAUCAGUCGUCUCACCCAUCUGACUUCUG